GGGCGUUAAGUUGCAGGGUAUAGACCCGAAACCCGGUGAUCUAGCCAUGGGCAGGUUGAAGGUUGGGUAACACUAACUGGAGGACCGAACCGACUAAUGUUGAAAAAUUAGCGGAUGACCUGUGGCUGGGGGUGAAAGGCCAAUCAAACCGGGAGAUAGCUGGUUCUCCCCGAAAGCUAUUUAGGUAGCGCCUCGUGAAUUCAUCUCCGGGGGUAGAGCACUGUUUCGGCUAGGGGGCCAUCCCGGCUUACCAACCCGAUGCAAACUGCGAAUACCGGAGAAUGUUAUCACGGGAGACACACGGCGGGUGCUAACGUCCGUCGUGAAGAGGGAAACAACCCAGACCGCCAGCUAAGGUCCCAAAGUCAUGGUUAAGUGGGAAACGAUGUGGGAAGGCCCAGACAGCCAGGAUGUUGGCUUAGAAGCAGCCAUCAUUUAAAGAAAGCGUAAUAGCUCACUGGUCGAGUCGGCCUGCGCGGAAGAUGUAACGGGGCUAAACCAUGCACCGAAGCUGCGGCAGCGACACUCAGGUGUUGUUGGGUAGGGGAGCGUUCUGUAAGCCUGUGAAGGUGGCCUGUGAGGGUUGCUGGAGGUAUCAGAAGUGCGAAUGCUGACAUAAGUAACGAUAAAGCGGGUGAAAAGCCCGCUCGCCGGAAGACCAAGGGUUCCUGUCCAACGUUAAUCGGGGCAGGGUGAGUCGACCCCUAAGGCGAGGCCGAAAGGCGUAGUCGAUGGGAAACGGGUUAAUAUUCCCGUACUUGGUGUUACUGCGAAGGGGGGACGGAGAAGGCUAUGUUGGCCGGGCGACGGUUGUCCCGGUUUAAGCGUGUAGG
RNAcentral lists this ribosomal RNA (833 nucleotides) under Salmonella enterica subsp. enterica serovar Senftenberg. RNAcentral's name for it is "partial 23S ribosomal RNA". It matches the Rfam family "Bacterial large subunit ribosomal RNA", at positions 690 to 1524 of the family's 2925-position model. Lineage: Bacteria; Pseudomonadati; Pseudomonadota; Gammaproteobacteria; Enterobacterales; Enterobacteriaceae. RNAcentral also lists the same sequence under 22 other names. The record is from RNAcentral.